GGGACCGCUCCCGCCAGGCGGGCGAAGCGCCCCGGCGGACGCGCUCCGCCGCCGGCCCCGGAGGCGGACGCCACCGAGACCCGAGCCGGCGUCGCCAGCGCCCGAGGCCCGCCGGACGGCGGGACCCGCCGCCGCCGGGGCCGCACUCCCGGGACCGCCGCCGCCUGCACCGUCGUGGGCCCUCGCCUCGGGCACGCGCCCGGCGGAAGGCGUACGGCGCUGAGCCGGGGGCAACGCCCGCUCUCCUCGCUCUCGCGCGGAGACCGGGCGGGGAAGCGCCCCGCGGCCGCCCGCACGCCUUCCCCUUCGGCCCACACGCGGCCGCGGCGCGGGCGACGGAGGACGCGACGAGCAGGGGCCCGGGCCGGGACCGCCGCCGGCGACGGCGGGCGCCUUCCGGCCGGACCGUCCCCGCAGGGAAAGUGGGGACACCCGUCAGGCGGCGCCGCCGCCGCUCGGCACGGGGGUCGCCAGCGCUCGCUGGGCCUCCGCCGACGGAGGGCCGCCGACGCCGCCCCGGGCGGGCGGGCGGUCGAAGCCAGGGGACGGCCGGCGGACGGCGCCGCCGGUGCCUUCGGAGGGAGGAAAGAAAAGGCCGUCGAGGGGAGAGAGGGCCGGCCGCGCGGACCGCGCCGCGCCGCACGCGAGAGACCGCGGCGGCGGCGGCCGAGGAAGAGAGAGCGCUUGGCGGGCCCCGGCGGCCGCGACCCCGCGGCCGAGGAAGGAGCAGAGAGAGAGCGCGCUCUUCUCUCUGCCGGCGUCGCCCGUUACGACGAGGCGAAGCGGGUCGGCCCGCGGCCGACCGCAGCGCCGCGGCCUCUCCGCCGAGGCCGGGCCACGGAGAGGGGGGCAGGGCCCCUCCCGGCGCGGCGCGGUUACCCCAGCUGCGCGCGCGGCGGGACGACGACGACGACGACGACGACGGAGGAGCGCGGCCGGUGGCGACGGACACCACCGCAGGGGAUCGGCGGGAGUAGCUGCUCCCCACCCCUCAGUGGCGCCGCACCACCGCCCGGCAACACCUGCCGCCGCCGCCGCCGGCACCGCCGCCGCCACGGCGGGCCGCGCCGAGCCGCCCGAGUCUUUAAACCGCCGCCCCGGCUCGCCGGCCCUUUCGGCCCCCCGCAACAGCGUUUGACGACGCCGACGGGAAAACCUGGGGACCGCCGAGGCGCGGAGCGCUAG
This 1185-nucleotide long non-coding RNA is filed under the name Camarhynchus parvulus. RNAcentral describes it as "lncRNA (ENSCPVG00000017872.1)". Lineage: Eukaryota; Metazoa; Chordata; Aves; Passeriformes; Thraupidae. The record is from RNAcentral.